RNAcentral lists this long non-coding RNA (303 nucleotides) under Hordeum vulgare. RNAcentral's name for it is "long non-coding RNA (HVUL_LNC003151)". The record is from RNAcentral. Lineage: Eukaryota; Viridiplantae; Streptophyta; Magnoliopsida; Poales; Poaceae.
AAAAAGAUCAGGUAAUGUCUCUGUAACACAUCAGGAUCAGGAUGAGGUAACUAGAGAACUCAGUUGCAAAAACACAUGUCACGCACACAUGCACUGAAAAAAAGAAGAAGCCUAAAACUACUAGCUAGGUCUUGUUGCGGUCGUCUUUUCACUUGAAACUAUGACUUCUUCAGCAACUUUUCGAGCUCCUCCUCCGAGCUGAGGGUGUUUUGCGGAUGUUUGAAAAGCUUUGCUGCGAUGUACUUGCGGAAGUUGAGCAACGAGGUUGUGUCCUGAUCAUACACGGCAACAAAAGAAAAAAAC